RNAcentral lists this ribosomal RNA (373 nucleotides) under uncultured bacterium. RNAcentral's name for it is "bacterial SSU rRNA". It matches the Rfam family "Bacterial small subunit ribosomal RNA", at positions 525 to 896 of the family's 1533-position model. The record is from RNAcentral.
ACGUAGGGGGCGAGCGUUGUCCGGAGUUACUGGGCGUAAAGCGCCCGCAGGCGGUCGUGCGCGUUUGGGGUGACAGUCGGUGGCUUAACUGCCGGAGUGCUCCAAAGACGGUACGACUUGAGGGCCUCAGAGGGACAUGGAAGUCCGGGUGGAGCGGUGAAAUGCGUAGAUAUCCGGAGGAACACCAAAGGCGAAGGCAGUGUCCUGGGAGGCUUCUGACGCUCAGGGGCGAAAGCCAGGGGAGCGAACGGGAUUAGAUACCCCGGUAGUCCUGGCCGUAAACGAUGACCACCAGGUGUGCGACGUAUCGACCCGUUGUGCGCCGAAGCUCACGCAGUAAGUGGUCCGCCUGGGGAGUACGGUCGCAAGAUUA